This 301-nucleotide ribosomal RNA is filed under the name uncultured bacterium. Its description in RNAcentral is "partial 16S ribosomal RNA". It matches the Rfam family "Bacterial small subunit ribosomal RNA", at positions 509 to 807 of the family's 1533-position model. The record is from RNAcentral.
CAGUAGCCGCGGUAAUACGGAGGGAGCUAGCGUUGUUCGGAAUUACUGGGCGUAAAGCGCGCGUAGGCGGUUACUCAAGUCAGAGGUGAAAGCCCGGGGCUCAACCCCGGAACUGCCUUUGAAACUAGGUGACUAGAAUCUUGGAGAGGUCAGUGGAAUUCCGAGUGUAGAGGUGAAAUUCGUAGAUAUUCGGAAGAACACCAGUGGCGAAGGCGACUGACUGGACAAGUAUUGACGCUGAGGUGCGAAAGCGUGGGGAGCAAACAGGAUUAGAGACCCCGGUAGUCCCUGUCUCUUAUAC